AAGGAAGAACAGAAGCUAGUAAGUACUGCUAAUCCUUACAUACCAUGGUUAAAAUCCGUGGCU
This 63-nucleotide transfer RNA is filed under the name Carasobarbus kosswigi. RNAcentral's name for it is "partial tRNA-Ser". Lineage: Eukaryota; Metazoa; Chordata; Actinopteri; Cypriniformes; Cyprinidae. The record is from RNAcentral.